Molecule: long non-coding RNA, 6464 nt
Filed under: Podarcis lilfordi (Lilford's wall lizard)
Lineage: Eukaryota; Metazoa; Chordata; Lepidosauria; Squamata; Lacertidae
Source: RNAcentral
AUAUUGUCAGGGGUUCAGAGAGAGAGGCACAGGGUAGGCAGGAGAUGGAGAGCGAGGGGGAGGAAUUCCAAGCCAGCGAGGAAGAGGAUGACAAUGACUCAAGGGAUUCCAUGAGUCUUUCCAGCGAAUCAGAGGAUUCCCAGAAGGGGGCGCCGGUGGUCAGGGCCAGGGGAGCCCCAGGGGGGAAGUGUCAGGAGCAGGGUGCCAGCGGAGGAUCCCAAAGUGGCAGCUGGGCGUCAGGACCAGCCUCCCCACCAAAGUGCAGUGAAGGGGGUGGAGUUUCCAGUGUGUCAGAGGAAGCAGCUCCAGCAGCAGAGAAAGGAGGGGGGUCAGAGCAAGCCGCCCUCCCGGAAGGGGAGGGGAGCAGUGAAGGGAGUAGUGUAACUGCCAAAAGGAAAGUUAGAGGUUUGGCGCGCGCGCCUAGUUCAAAUGUAGAGGCGCGCGGAAGUGCAGGGAGUCCGGAGGAGGGGCCAGGUCCCAAAGCCCGCAGGAGGGGGGGAAGAGCAGUCUGAUUCCGCGUCAGAGGAAUCCAGAAGGGGCGCAACCCCAGGGGGCAGAAGGACCCUGCGGAAAAGGAAGGAGAGAAAGAGGUGGAGCAGCGCAAGUCUCUUAAAUUGGUGCAGAGGAGGGACUGACUCAGAGGGGACUUCGGCGGUCUAGCGUAAGAGACGUAAGGCUGCGCGCCUAGGAUGUCAAGCAAACCAUGAACUGCAAUAAACACCUUUGUAUACAAGAAGACGUAGGCGUUGGUCUUUUGUGAGCUAAGACUUGAGGCAGCCUUGACAGUAAGUCCCCUCUCAGAACAAAAAACCGCAAAAAUUUUUUUUUGCACAGCUCACGAAGUUUGGCAGCAAUGACUACUGAGGAGCAGAUAGCGUCCCUGCAAAACGCAGUCACCGAGCUCUCCACUGCCGUCGUGGUUUCUCAGAAGACAGUUGCAGAAGCAGAAGCGCGAUGCCAGGAUCUGCAAGCCAGGUGGGAUCGGGCGUGCAGAGAGGGGUUCCCGGGGUCCAGAUCAGAGGGAAUCGGACUGGGACGAAGGGGGGGCAAUUUAGUAGCCCACUUCGAUGGGAACCUGAAGCAUUAUCCCAAUUUCAGAGCAGACGUCGUAUAUGCACUGCAUUUACUUCGAAAGGACUUCAAGGAUGAGGAGGAAAAAGUGGGGUUCAUUGUGUCGCACCUGCAUGGGGAAGCAAGGAAUUGGUUACGCAAUUUAUGGCGCGAAGAUGGUCUUGCACGCAGGGACUCUGAUGAAUUUCUCAAAGCCAUGGACGCUUGCUUCCAAUCUACUGUUGACGUUGAUGUGGCACGUCAGGAGAUGCAUGGAUUGCGGCAGGGCAAGGCUACAGUGCGUCAGUACCAUUCUCGCUUUUUUGCAUUGCUGAAUGUGCUGGGCUGGGAAAAGGACUCCCUGGCAGUGAGGGACUUGUUUUGGGAAGGGCUGCAUGGCUCAGUGAAAGAUGAGCUGGCUAGGGGAGACAGACCUCAAACCCUAGCAGACGUCGUGCAGAGGGCACUCACGAUAGGGGUGCGCCAAGAAGACCGCCCUUGGCACAGGGAGGAGGGGCGUCACGUCCGCCCACCAGCUAGAGCGCCUCCUUUUCCUUCCAGGGACUUGGAACGUUCAAGCCUUUCGCCUGUCCUGGCAGCGGGGGAAGAACAGAUGGAACUGGGUGGUGCAAAGGCUCAGACAGCUGCCGGAGCCUCAGCGUCAGGAGCAGUCAAAGCGAAGCCUCCUAGAGGGACCAGGAAGUGUUACAUCUGUGACAGUGCACGGCACAUGGCUAAAGAGUGUCCCCAGAGGCUCCAGAAGCACACUGCAGCCUUAGCAACAGUAACAGGGGAAGCUUUCCAAGGGGAGCAGUUUCAGGGAAACGAGAAUGCCUGGUUGGAGGGAGAGACGCUGGGGCUCCGCCAGGCAAGUCAAUGAAGCAGUCCCCAGCGCUUUUGCAGCCUACAGACCCCUUACCACCUAAGCCAGUGGUGCAGCUCACUGCUACUCUCCAGCUGCCUAAUGGACUCACCCUGGAAGUCCCCAUUACGAUUGACUCAGGGAGCAACGCAGACUUCGUGGGGGUGCAGUUCGUCAAGCAGCAUCGCAUAGCGCUACUACCAGCCACGCUGCCUCUGAAUGUGGUCACUGUAGAUGGCAGGAAGUUGCUGGGUGGGCAAGUGGUACAACAGACGCCAGCCAUGCUGCUGAAAAUUGGGAAUCAUCGCGAGGUCAUCAGUUUCAAUGUCACCCAACUGUCAGACACGCCCAUAGUGCUAGGCAUGAGUUGGCUGGAUAGACACAGCCCAUCCUUGGCGUGGUACCAGCGGCAGCUCACCUUUGGCUCGUCCUACUGUGCACAACAUUGCAUCCAGAUUGGUGAGGACGAGGAGGGCCGGGAGGAAGGGCAACAGCUGCAUCUAGGCAUGGUGCAGGCAGUGCCCCACAAGUACAAGGGAUUUUUGGAGGUCUUCUGCGAGAAGGAAGCUGACCAAUUACCACCCCACAGGCCCUACGACUGUGCAAUUGACCUCUUACCAGGGGCAACGCUGCCGACUGCGAAGCUGUAUUCCAUGUCUGAAGAUGAGAUGCAGGAGCUCAGGGAGUUCAUAGAUCACAAUUUGAAGCGGGAUUCAUCCGAGAAUCCAAGGCAGUGGGGGCAGUCCUGUGUUUUUCGUGAAGAAGAAGGACACGCCCCAAAAACGACUCAUUGUGGACUAUAGGGCCAUAAACUCGAUGACAAAACCCAAGGCUUUCCCCAUGCCCAAGAUUGACGACCUGCUCGCGACGGUGAGGAAGGGGAGGAUCUUCACCAAGUUGGAUCUACGCGGAGCCUACAAUCUCAUACGCAUGAGGGAAGGUGACGAGUGGAAGACGGCCAUGUUCACGCCGCUGGGCACCUAUGAAUACAGAGUUAUGCCGUUUGGUCUCCAAAAUGGCUCCCACUGUUUUCAAGCAUUCAUGCACCACGUGCUAGCAGGACUCCUCUACAAGAAGUGCGUAUGCUUUCUCGACGAUAUUCUGAUCUUCUCGGAAUCGCAGGAGACUCACGAAAGAGACGUAAAGGAGGUCCUGCAGAGGCUACGGGAGCACAGACUCUACGCCAAGCUGGAGAAGUGCCAGUUCGACGUGACGGAGGUGGAUUUCCUGGGCUACCGGCUGUCCGACAAGGGACUAGCCAUGGACAGCGCCAAGGUCCGCGCGGUGUUGGACUGGAAUAGCCCGCGCAAUCGGAAGGAGGUCCAGAGGUCUCGUCGGCUUCGCCAACUUUUACCGCAAGUUCAUCAGGGGUUUCGCGAAAGAGACGGCAGCUAUCACGGACACCCUCAGUUCCAAGAAGAAAAAGUUCACCUGGACGGACCAGGCGGAGCAGUCCUUCAGGAGACUUAAGAGUCUCUUCGCGUCCGAAGACCAGCUGCUACACGUGAAUCCUGGCAGGCCCAUGCGGGUUGAGACUGACGCAUCUGACAGAGCAGUGGGGGCCGUCCUCUUGCAGGAAGAUUCGCAAGGGAACUGGAGGCCCUGCGCUUUCUACUCCCGGAAGCUCAGCAAGUCGGAACAGAACUACACCAUCUGGGACAGGGAGUUGUUGGCCAUCCACGCGGCUUUCAAGGCGUGGCGGCACUUCCUCAUCGGAGCCAAGCACACCGUGCAGGUCCGCACGGACCACAAGAACCUGGAGUAUUGGCGCACGGCGAAGCUCCAGAGCCAGAGGCACAUGAGAUGGGCGGAGUUCUUUGCGGAUUUCGAUUUCCGGAUAGAGUAUAUCCCGGGAGACAACAACAUCAUAGCGGAUGCGCUCUCCAGGAAACCGCAGUAUCUUGAGGAAGCGGCACCAGUGGCAGCCAGGCACAUUUUUGCACCGCAAGCGUGGGCGUGCGCUUCUGCCGCCGUGGACCUGGACGCGGUACGACGCGCGCUACAGACGGACCCGUUUGCACAAUCCAAGAUGGAGGAGGUGCGAAGAGGGACAGCAAAGGACGGCGAAUUCCAGAUACGCGACGGCCUGCUGACCCGCAAAGGUGCUCUCUAUGUCCCGGGAGACGAUCUCCGAGCGAAGGUUUUACAGCAGUUACACGACGCCCCCAGCGCGGGUCACUUCGGCAAGGAGAAGACGGCGGACUUAGUAGCCAGGGACUUUUGGUGGCCCCAGAUGCGGGGAGAAGUCGCGGAUUACGUCGCCAGAUGUGACACUUGUCAGAGGUCCAAGCCAGUGCACAAGAAGCCAGCGGGAUUGCUGGAACCGCUGGAGACGCCACUGCAGCCGUGGGAAAGGGUGGCGCUGGACUUUGUCACUGAUCUGCCCAGUUCGCGGGGCAAGACGGCGGUGCUUGUGGUUGUAGAUCUGUUCACCAAGAUGGCGCAUUUCAUUCCUUGCGCGAAGGUGGCAACAGCGGAGCAGACCGCCAGGCUAUUCAUAGACCACGUGUUCCGGGUGCACGGCUUACCACGGUCCAUUUUGUCCGACCGGGGUCGCCAAUUCAUUUCCAGUUUCUGGCAGAAGCUCCUGGGCAUCCUGAAUGUCAAGAUCAACUUAGCGUCGGCGAGACACCCGCAAACCAACGGCCAAGCGGAGAGGGUCAACGCCAUCAUGCAGCAGUACCUGCGAUGUUACGCCAAUCAGAAGCCUGCAACUUGGGUGGACUACUUACCGAUGGCCGAGUUUGCCUACAACAACACGAAGCACGCGUCAACGGGGGUGACACCGUUCUUCGCCAACAAUGGGCGACACCCCAGAACAUUCCCGGCGUUGGAGACGACGACGCAGGGGGAGUCGCAGGGAGCGGAACAUUUAGCAGCAGAAUUGCAGGAGGUCCACGAGGAGCUACGACGGCACUUGGAACUAGCUAAACACGCCUACAAAGUGCAGGCAGACAGGCACAGGAGGGCAGGAGAAGACAUCCAGGUGGGGGACUGGGUAUGGUUAGCAGCCCAGGCGGUGCCGGCCAAGUCGUUAGCUAAGAAGAAGCUAGGACACAAACAGCUAGGGCCAUACCAAGUUGAGGGCAGGAUCAAUCCCGUAGCUUUUCGGUUGACCCUCCCAGAGGAUUCCCGAAUGCACCCGGUCUUUCAUAGGUCGGUGCUUACACCCUACAAGGCCCCACACAGAUUUCAGGAGCCAGGGACGGCACCAGACCCGCGUAGGAAGUCACCAGGGGGAAGUCACCGAGGACCCCGACACUCAACGAGGUCACGGAAAUUCUGGACUCGAGAUGGGGGGAGGAGGGAGUGGAAUACCUCCUCGCCAGGGAAGGUACCCCGGCUAGCGCCAACAGUUGGGUGCCAGAUUAUGCUCUGGAGGAACCUUUGCUUAAGGACGAGUUCCAUGCACUCUUCCCACACAGGCCCAUGCCAGAGGAGUAUUUUGACGACUGGCUUUUUACCCCCACACUUUCAGGCAGCACCUUCAGGGGGUCUCCUCCGCAGAGGAGACCACGCCGCAAUCGAGCCCUCCAAGGGGAUCGGGCUCGGGGGUGGACACGGACCGCUCUUAUUGGUGGGACGAUCAACCAGAAGUGGGGUGGCGAAGGGGACCUUGGCAAGCAGCUUCGCUGAAGUAACAGGGGGAGGGAAGGGUUUGGAGGUGUUGGGGAGGACCCUGGUUUCGAGCACUCCUACACUGAACUGGAAGCAGAGGAGAUCGACGUCGACGAACUGUAUCCAGCAUCUACCCCCGCUACAACGAAGCUCCCGGAACCUGCGCCCGAGCAGCGGGAGGGGGGAAGGGGGGGCUUCGAGGGGGGGGAUGGAUGUCAGGGGUUCAGAGAGAGAGGCACAGGGUAGGCAGGAGAUGGAGAGCGAGGGGGAGGAAUUCCAAGCCAGCGAGGAAGAGGAUGACAAUGACUCAAGGGAUUCCAUGAGUCUUUCCAGCGAAUCAGAGGAUUCCCAGAAGGGGGCGCCGGUGGUCAGGGCCAGGGAGCCCCAGGGGGGAAGUGUCAGGAGCAGGGUGCCAGCGGAGGAUCCCAAAGUGGCAGCUGGGCGUCAGGACCAGCCUCCCCACCAAAGUGCAGUGAAGGGGUGGAGUUUCCAGUGUGUCAGAGGAAGCAGCUCCAGCAGCAGAGAAAGGAGGGGGGUCAGAGCAAGCCGCCCUCCCGGAAGGGGAGGGGAGCAGUGAAGGGAGUAGUGUAACUGUCAAAAGGAAAGUUAGAGGUUUGGCGCGCGCGCCUAGUUCAAAUGUAGAGGCGCGCGGAAGUGCAGGGAGUCCGGAGGAGGGGCCAGGUCCCAAAGCCCGCAGGAGGUGGAAGAGCAGUCUGAUUCCGCGUCAGAGGAAUCCAGAAGGGGCGCAACCCCAGGGGGCAGAAGGACCCUGCGGAAAAGGAAGGAGAGAAAGAGGUGGAGCAGCGCAAGUCUCUUAAAUUGGUGCAGAGGAGGGACUGACUCAGAGGGGACUUCGGCGGUCUAGCGUAAGAGACGUAAGGCUGCGCGCCUAGGAUGUCAAGCAAACCAUGAACUGCAAUAAACACCUUUGUAU